RNAcentral lists this ribosomal RNA (451 nucleotides) under uncultured bacterium. RNAcentral's name for it is "bacterial SSU rRNA". It matches the Rfam family "Bacterial small subunit ribosomal RNA", at positions 28 to 476 of the family's 1533-position model. The record is from RNAcentral.
GACGAACGCUGGCGGCGUGCUUAAUACAUGCAAGUCAACUGAACUUAGGAUAGCAAUAUUUUAAGGGAGGUGGCGCACGGGUGAGUAACACGUAGGUAAUCUGCCUUUAGGUCUGACAUAACCUACCGAAAGGUAGGCUAAAAUCAGAUGAUGCAGCGGCUCGACAUCGAGACAGUUGUUAAAUCUUCGGGGCCUAAAGAUGAGCCUGCGUCUGAUUAGGUAGUUGGCGGAGUAAUAGCCCACCAAGCCUGCGAUCAGUAGCUGGUCUGAGAGGAUGAUCAGCCACACUGGAACUGAGACACGGUCCAGACUCCUACGGGAGGCAGCAGUAAGGAAUAUUGCUCAAUGGCCGAAAGGCUGAAGCAGCAACGCCGCGUGGAGGACGAAAGUACUUUUGUAUGUAAACUCCUGUAAAGAAGGGAAAAAUAUAGCAGUUUUCUGCAUUGAUUGU